GUAGGUGGCAAGCGUUGUCCGGAAUUAUUGGGCGUAAAGCGCGCGCAGGUGGGUUCUUUAAGUCUGAUGUGAAAGCCCCCGGGCUCAACCGGGGAGGGUCAUUGGAAACUGGGGAACUUGAGUGCAGGAGAGGAAAGUGGAAUUCCACGUGUAGCGGUGAAAUGCGUAGAUAUGUGGAGGAACACCAGUGGCGAAGGCGACUUUCUGGCCUGUAACUGACACUGAGGCGCGAAAGCGUGGGGAGCAAACAGGAUUAGAUACCCUGGUAGUCCACGCCGUAAACGAUGAGUGCUAAGUGUUGGGGGGUUUCCGCCCCUCAGUGCUGCAGCUAACGCAUUAAGCACUCCGCCUAGGGAGUACGGUCGCAAGACUG
This 373-nucleotide ribosomal RNA is filed under the name uncultured organism. Its description in RNAcentral is "partial 16S ribosomal RNA". It matches the Rfam family "Bacterial small subunit ribosomal RNA", at positions 527 to 896 of the family's 1533-position model. The record is from RNAcentral.